RNAcentral lists this ribosomal RNA (1291 nucleotides) under Salmonella enterica subsp. enterica serovar Uganda. Its description in RNAcentral is "partial 23S ribosomal RNA". It matches the Rfam family "Bacterial large subunit ribosomal RNA", at positions 1 to 1330 of the family's 2925-position model. The record is from RNAcentral. Lineage: Bacteria; Pseudomonadati; Pseudomonadota; Gammaproteobacteria; Enterobacterales; Enterobacteriaceae.
GUUAAGCGACUAAGCGUACACGGUGGAUGCCCUGGCAGUCAGAGGCGAUGAAGGGCGUGCUAAUCUGCGAUAAGCGCCGGUAAGGUGAUAUGAACCGUUAUAACCGGCGAUACCCGAAUGGGGAAACCCAGUGUGACUCGUCACACUAUCAUUAACUGAAUCCAUAGGUUAAUGAGGCGAACCGGGGGAACUGAAACAUCUAAGUACCCCGAGGAAAAGAAAUCAACCGAGAUUCCCCCAGUAGCGGCGAGCGAACGGGGAGGAGCCCAGAGCCUGAAUCAGCAUGUGUGUUAGUGGAAGCGUCUGGAAAGGCGCGCGAUACAGGGUGACAGCCCCGUACACAAAAGCGCAUGUGCUGUGAGCUCGAUGAGUAGGGCGGGACACGUGGUAUCCUGUCUGAAUAUGGGGGGACCAUCCUCCAAGGCUAAAUACUCCUGACUGACCGAUAGUGAACCAGUACCGUGAGGGAAAGGCGAAAAGAACCCCGGCGAGGGGAGUGAAAAAGAACCUGAAACCGUGUACGUACAAGCAGUGGGAGCACAGGUUUACCUGUGUGACUGCGUACCUUUUGUAUAAUGGGUCAGCGACUUAUAUUCUGUAGCAAGGUUAACCGAAUAGGGGAGCCGGAGGGAAACCGAGUCUUAAUUGGGCGUUAAGUUGCAGGGUAUAGACCCGAAACCCGGUGAUCUAGCCAUGGGCAGGUUGAAGGUUGGGUAACACUAACUGGAGGACCGAACCGACUAAUGUUGAAAAAUUAGCGGAUGACCUGUGGCUGGGGGUGAAAGGCCAAUCAAACCGGGAGAUAGCUGGUUCUCCCCGAAAGCUAUUUAGGUAGCGCCUCGUGAAUUCAUCUCCGGGGGUAGAGCACUGUUUCGGCUAGGGGGCCAUCCCGGCUUACCAACCCGAUGCAAACUGCGAAUACCGGAGAAUGUUAUCACGGGAGACACACGGCGGGUGCUAACGUCCGUCGUGAAGAGGGAAACAACCCAGACCGCCAGCUAAGGUCCCAAAGUCAUGGUUAAGUGGGAAACGAUGUGGGAAGGCCCAGACAGCCAGGAUGUUGGCUUAGAAGCAGCCAUCAUUUAAAGAAAGCGUAAUAGCUCACUGGUCGAGUCGGCCUGCGCGGAAGAUGUAACGGGGCUAAACCAUGCACCGAAGCUGCGGCAGCGACACUCAGGUGUUGUUGGGUAGGGGAGCGUUCUGUAAGCCUGUGAAGGUGGCCUGUGAGGGUUGCUGGAGGUAUCAGAAGUGCGAAUGCUGACAUAAGUAACGAUAAAGCGGGUGAAAAGCC